CGCUCUCAAAGAGUCGAGUUGUUUGGGAAUGCAGCUCAAAAUGGGUGGUAAAUUCCAUCUAAAGCUAAAUAUUGGCGAGAGACCGAUAGCGAACAAGUACCGUGAGGGAAAGAUGAAAAGAACUUUGGAAAGAGAGUUAAACAGUACGUGAAAUUGCUGAAAGGGAAACGCUUGAAGUCAGUCGCGUUGUCCAGGGAUCAACCUUGCUUUUGCUUGGUGCACUUUCUGGUUGACGGGUCAGCAUCAAUUUUGACUAUUGGAAAAAGAUUAGGGGAAUGUGACAUCUUCGGAUGUGUUAUAGCCCUUGGUUGCAUACAAUGGUUGGGAUUGAGGAACUCAGCACGCCGCAAGGCCGGGUUUUUAACCACGUACGUGCUUAGGAUGCUGGCAUAAUGGCUUUAAUCGACCCGUCUUGAAACACGGACCAAGGAGUCUAACAUGCCUGCGAGUGUUUGGGUGGAAAACCCGAGCGCGUAAUGAAAGUGAAAGUUGAGAUCCCUGUCGUGGGGAGCAUCGACGCCCGGACCAGACCUUUUGUGACGGUUCCGCGGUAGAGCAUGUAUGUUGGGACCCGAAAGAUGGUGAACUAUGCCUGAAUAGGGUGAAGCCAGGGGAAACCCUGGUGGAGGCUCGUAGCGAUUCUGACGUGCAAAUC
RNAcentral lists this ribosomal RNA (655 nucleotides) under Cortinarius sp. PDD 107381. RNAcentral describes it as "partial large subunit ribosomal RNA". It matches the Rfam family "Eukaryotic large subunit ribosomal RNA", at positions 252 to 899 of the family's 3401-position model. Lineage: Eukaryota; Fungi; Basidiomycota; Agaricomycetes; Agaricales; Cortinariaceae. The record is from RNAcentral.